UACGUAGGAUGCAAGCGUUGUCCGGAAUUAUUGGGCGUAAAGAGCGAGCAGGCGGUUACUCAAGUCAGAUGUAAAAUAUCCCGGCUUAACCGGGAGGGGCCAUUUGAAACUGGGUGACUAGAGUGAAGCAGAGGAUAGCGGAAUUCCCGGUGUAGUGGUGAAAUGCGUAGAUAUCGGGAGGAACACCAGUGGCGAAGGCGGCUAUCUGGGCUUUAACUGACGCUGAGGCGCGAAGGCUAGGGGAGCAAACAGG
This 253-nucleotide ribosomal RNA is filed under the name uncultured bacterium. Its description in RNAcentral is "partial 16S ribosomal RNA". It matches the Rfam family "Bacterial small subunit ribosomal RNA", at positions 524 to 776 of the family's 1533-position model. The record is from RNAcentral.